RNAcentral lists this ribosomal RNA (253 nucleotides) under uncultured bacterium. RNAcentral describes it as "partial 16S ribosomal RNA". It matches the Rfam family "Bacterial small subunit ribosomal RNA", at positions 524 to 776 of the family's 1533-position model. The record is from RNAcentral.
UACGAAGGGUGCAAGCGUUACUCGGAAUUACUGGGCGUAAAGCGUGCGUAGGUGGUUCGUUAAGUCUGAUGUGAAAGCCCUGGGCUCAACCUGGGAAUGGCAUUGGAUACUGGCGGACUGGAGUGCGGUAGAGGAUGGCGGAAUUCCCGGUGUAGCAGUGAAAUGCGUAGAGAUCGGGAGGAACAUCUGUGGCGAAGGCGGCCAUCUGGACCAGCACUGACACUGAAAAGCGAAAGCCAGGGGAGCAAACGGG